RNAcentral lists this transfer RNA (57 nucleotides) under Caenorhabditis elegans. RNAcentral describes it as "tRNA-Cys". Lineage: Eukaryota; Metazoa; Nematoda; Chromadorea; Rhabditida; Rhabditidae. The record is from RNAcentral.
GAAACCUUAGUAUAAUUUUAGUAUAUUUAAUUGCAAAUUAAAUGGUAUUGGUUUUUA